RNAcentral lists this small nuclear RNA (148 nucleotides) under Castor canadensis (American beaver). RNAcentral's name for it is "U2 spliceosomal RNA (ENSCCNG00000027717.1)". It matches the Rfam family "U2 spliceosomal RNA". Rfam says of the family: U2 is a small nuclear RNA (snRNA) component of the spliceosome (involved in pre-mRNA splicing). Complementary binding between U2 snRNA (in an area lying towards the 5' end but 3' to hairpin I) and the branchpoint sequence (BPS) of the intron results the bulging out of an unpaired adenosine, on the BPS, which initiates a nucleophilic attack at the intronic 5' splice site, thus starting the first of two transesterification reactions that mediate splicing. Lineage: Eukaryota; Metazoa; Chordata; Mammalia; Rodentia; Castoridae. The record is from RNAcentral.
AUCGCUUCUCGGCCUUUUGGCUAAGAUCAAGUGUAGUAUCUGUUCUUAUCAGUUUUACUGAUACUCCCUUCUCUGUGUAUUCAUGAUUUAGGUAAAGUAUUAAGAACGGUGUUUUAGAACUUGCACAACAGCAAAAAACCAAAUAGCC